GCCAGCACCCUUGCUGUCUUCUUUGCGUCAUACUACGUUUUCAACCUUGAGUAUCAGGAGUCAGCGUCCAUCACACUGGAGAUGAUACAGAGGUUCUUUGUGAGGAUCAAUCCAGACAUGGGAACAAAAUGCCCUGCAAAACUUGGUACAAGCCGCAAGACAGGUCGUGUCGUAAAGAGGAAGGUUACAAGCAUCAGCCCUCGGAUCACCACCUUCCUCCAGCGGCUCUCUGAGUUUGAAUGGAGGACUUCCAACUAGGUGGUGAUGUAGACUACGCUGAACCCGACCAUCCUGGUAACGGAAAUCUAAAUCCCAUGUCACAUUCUAUUUCCUGGGACCCACUGAUAAUUAUUACA
Molecule: non-coding RNA, 356 nt
Organism: Maylandia zebra (zebra mbuna)
Lineage: Eukaryota; Metazoa; Chordata; Actinopteri; Cichliformes; Cichlidae
Source: RefSeq, a predicted model, not a curated record